CAGGAUGAACGCUGGCGGCGUGCUUAACACAUGCAAGUCGAACGAGGCUGCAGUUGCGGAAGUUUUCGGAUGGAAGCGGUGCAGACCGAGUGGCGGACGGGUGAGUAACGCGUGGGGAACCUGCCCCAUUCCGGGGGAUACCAGUUGGAAACGACUGUUAAUACCGCAUAAGCGCACAGUGAGACAUCUCACAGUGUGAAAAACUGAGGUGGAAUGGGAUGGCCCCGCGUCUGAUUAGCCAGUUGGCAGGGUAACGGCCUACCAAAGCGACGAUCAGUAGCCGGCCUGAGAGGGCGACCGGCCACAUUGGGACUGAGACACGGCCCAAACUCCUACGGGAGGCAGCAGUGGGGAAUAUUGCACAAUGGGGGAAACCCUGAUGCAGCGACGCCGCGUGAGUGAAGAAGUAUUUCGGUAUGUAAAGCUCUAUCAGCAGGGAAGAAGAUGACGGUACCUGCACAAGAAGCCCCGGCUAACUACGUGCC
RNAcentral lists this ribosomal RNA (485 nucleotides) under uncultured bacterium. Its description in RNAcentral is "bacterial SSU rRNA". It matches the Rfam family "Bacterial small subunit ribosomal RNA", at positions 25 to 509 of the family's 1533-position model. The record is from RNAcentral.